RNAcentral lists this ribosomal RNA (253 nucleotides) under uncultured bacterium. Its description in RNAcentral is "partial 16S ribosomal RNA". It matches the Rfam family "Bacterial small subunit ribosomal RNA", at positions 524 to 776 of the family's 1533-position model. The record is from RNAcentral.
GACGGAGGGUGCAAGCGUUGUUCGGAAUUACUGGGCGUAAAGGGCGCGCAGGCGGUCUUGUUUGUCGAGUGUGAAAGCCCCGGGCUCAACCUGGGAACGGCGCUCGAAACGGCGGGACUAGAGAUCGGGAGAGGAGCGUGGAAUUCCCAGUGUAGAGGUGAAAUUCGUAGAUAUUGGGAAGAACACCGGUGGCGAAGGCGGCGCUCUGGACCGAGACUGACGCUGAGGCGCGAAAGCCAGGGGAGCAAACGGG